This 1865-nucleotide long non-coding RNA is filed under the name Vigna radiata. RNAcentral describes it as "long non-coding RNA (VRAD_LNC018058)". The record is from RNAcentral. Lineage: Eukaryota; Viridiplantae; Streptophyta; Magnoliopsida; Fabales; Fabaceae.
AAUUCCUUUCUCUCUCUAGAACAGAAAUUUUGCCCAAACUCAAAUGUUCUGCCUUCUCUCUAAAAUUCUAGCAGAUUGAACCGUUGAAUCUUUGUUUUGUUGCUGCAAAAUCGUUCCUGGCGUGGAGAGCUUCGAUUCCCACCGAAAAAUUUCUUCAUUUCAUCGAGUAAGUAAAUUUUCCCCUUUCUCUUCAGUGUCUUGACCUAGGGCACCCAAUUUUUCUGGUUACAUGUGCUUUUUGUACUUUGUUUUCCCUUCUCCGUAUGUUCUAGCUCUAAAAGGCUGUCUCUAUCACCAAUUUGGUGAUUUAUAGGUGUUGUUGAAGUUCUGUCCUGUGAGGGCACUGUUAGAAAGUCUCCAUUUAGCUUUACUGUAGCGUGGUACCAGGUAAGGGGAGCUACUUAUACUUUUAUUUUAUUUGUUGCGAAGUGACUGUUUGAGAAAUCUGAAUUGCUAUGUGAAUUUAAACUGUAUUUUGGUUCUACACAUCCCUUUUGGUAAGAACUGAUGAAUCUGUUUGAGUGAUUAUGCAUGUUGAAUUAAAUAUGUGAUAUAUUGUGAGCAUGUGUUGUUACUGUCCUUAAGUGUUUAACUUAGUAUGCGCUGAAUUUGACUGAAAUGAUGAUCCUGGGAAUGAUUCCUGUUUAUAUAUUGAUUGUGAUGUGCUCUGAAGGAAUUUGAUAAAUCUAGUUGCUGGAAUAAGUUGGGGGUGAUACUGAUUUGAUGGAAAAAAAAUGGGUUGAGUGUAGCCUCAGAUUCUAUGAGAGGGGAUGUAUAACUUUGGGAAUCAGGGAACUAAAAAUAAUAGGCUACUUAUAUAACCAGCAAGGAAAUUGGGUUGUGUUGGAUUGGGAAAAAAAGGAAACAUUAUAAGUUAUUUUGAGGGAAUAUGUAUAUAUAUAUACACACACGUAGCAUAUUAUAUAUAUUGUGACAUAAUAUUAAUAUAUAGGUAUUUAUAAAAUAUAGUUACGUAACACAUAUAAAUUAUACUAAUAUUAUAUAACAGUAUAUAUACGUUAUUAUAUUUUAUUAAUAUAAUAUAGUUUUAUAUAUAAUAAUAGGUUUGUUAUAAUAUAAUAUUAUAAUAUAAUGUUAUAAUAUAAUAUUAUUAAUAGGUUUUAUAUAUGAAAGUACGAUCCAAGUGGUAAACUAAGUUUCAUUUGUGUGGAAUCUCUUGGUAAGAUUCUUAGUGUUUUAGAAUGAAAGUAGGAGCUCAGCCUUGGGGGUUUUCCUGACGCUCCAAUGACCUUUCUUCUCACAUAGAGUGGAUUGGAUCAUGUGGUGAGGAGUAGCAGGAAGUCUUAGUCUCGGAGGCUUCCAGUAUGCUCCAAGGCGCGGAACAGACUAACCUCGUGAGUGUGGUAGGGUGGGGAACCCAAGUUUCAUAAGCCACCACGGGUGCAUGACCCGCCAUAGCUCGACUCUCAUUCUAAAGUCCGGACGAGUCAAGUCUAGAAUAUAACAUACUAGGAUCUCUGUUAUAAAUUGUCUUGUAUGUAUUUUACUUGAGUUAAAUCUGAUAUGUAUAUGUUGCUAUAAUUGUAUGCUUUUUAUAUAAUCAGCUCACCCUUGCAUUUGCUUGUAUUUGUGCCAUGUUGUAUGUUUUUCUUUUGCAAUGAUCAUCCACUUGGAUCUGAGCAGAGGAGAAUGAAGUCUUUGUGAAGAACGUAUUGGAGGAAAAUGGAGAUGCAGCUGCUUAGUUCCUUAGGAAGUUUUAUGCCCUCUAAUAUUAUCUUAACAUUUCCAGUUUCUGUAUUUUUGAAUCCUUUAGUACUUUAAGUUUUAAUAUCCUCUGAAUUCUGGAUUACUGUAAUCCUUAAAUUUUAAUUCCUUAGAAUCUUAAUUAUCAUCCUUUAUUCUAA